RNAcentral lists this ribosomal RNA (421 nucleotides) under uncultured bacterium. Its description in RNAcentral is "partial 16S ribosomal RNA". It matches the Rfam family "Bacterial small subunit ribosomal RNA", at positions 360 to 773 of the family's 1533-position model. The record is from RNAcentral.
AAUUUUGGUCAAGGGGUGCAACCCUGACCCAGCAAUCCCUCGAGUGCGAUGAAGGACUCCGGGUUGUAAAGCACUUUUGUCAGGGAAGAAAAGGCUCUGGUUAAUACCUGGAGCUGCUGACGGUACCGGCAGAAUAAGCAUCGGCUAACUACGAGCCAGCAGCCGCGGUAAUACGUAGCGUGCCAGCGUUAAUCGGAAUUACUGGGCGUAAAGGGUGCGCAGGCGGUUUGGCAAGAAGGAUGUGAAAUCCCGGGGCUUAACCUCGGAACUGCAUUCUUAACUGCCAGGCUAGAGUAUGUCAGAGGGGGGUAGAAUUCCGCGUGUAGCAGUGAAAUGCGUAGAGAUGCGGAGGAAUACCGAUGGCGAAGGCAGCCCCCUGGGAUAAUACUGACGCUCAGGCACGAAAGCGUGGGGAGCAAAC